This 207-nucleotide ribosomal RNA is filed under the name uncultured bacterium. RNAcentral's name for it is "partial 16S ribosomal RNA". It matches the Rfam family "Bacterial small subunit ribosomal RNA", at positions 129 to 334 of the family's 1533-position model. The record is from RNAcentral.
CCCAAAACUGAUGAAUAAGCCCUCCGAAAGGAGGAUUAAUACAUCGUAACCUAAUUGAAUGGCAUCAUUUAAUUAGUAUAGGCUCCGGCGGUUUUGGAUGAGCGUGCGCCUGAUUAGGUAGUUGGCGGGGUAACGGCCCACCAAGCCUGCGAUCAGUAACUGGUGUGAGAGCACGACCAGUCACACGGGCACUGAGACACGGGCCCG